AGGAUGAACGCUGGCGGCGUGCUUAACACAUGCAAGUCGAACGCUGAAGCUCCAGCUUGCUGGAGUGGAUGAGUGGCGAACGGGUGAGUAACACGUGAGUAACCUUCCCUUGACUCUGGGAUAAGCCCGGGAAACUGGGUCUAAUACCGGAUACGACUCUCCACCGCAUGGUGUGGGGGUGGAAAGAUUUAUCGGUCUUGGAUGGACUCGCGGCCUAUCAGCUUGUUGGUGAGGUAAUGGCUCACCAAGGCGACGACGGGUAGCCGGCCUGAGAGGGUGACCGGCCACACUGGGACUGAGACACGGCCCAGACUCCUACGGGAGGCAGCAGUGGGGAAUAUUGCACAAUGGGCGCAAGCCUGAUGCAGCGACGCCGCGUGAGGGAUGACGGCCUUCGGGUUGUAAACCUCUUUCAGUAGGGAAGAAGCGAAAGUGACGGUACCUGCAGAAGAAGCGCCGGCUAACUACGUGCCAGC
This 476-nucleotide ribosomal RNA is filed under the name Citricoccus sp. o5. RNAcentral describes it as "bacterial SSU rRNA". It matches the Rfam family "Bacterial small subunit ribosomal RNA", at positions 26 to 512 of the family's 1533-position model. Lineage: Bacteria; Bacillati; Actinomycetota; Actinomycetes; Micrococcales; Micrococcaceae. The record is from RNAcentral.